CCUAACCUAGCGGCGGACGGGUGAGUAAUGCUUAGGAAUCUGCCUAUUAGUGGGGGACAACAUUCCGAAAGGGAUGCUAAUACCGCAUACGUCCUACGGGAGAAAGCAGGGGACCUUCGGGCCUUGCGCUAAUAGAUGAGCCUAAGUCGGAUUAGCUAGUUGGUGGGGUAAAGGCCUACCAAGGCGACGAUCUGUAGCGGGUCUGAGAGGAUGAUCCGCCACACUGGGACUGAGACACGGCCCAGACUCCUACGGGAGGCAGCAGUGGGGAAUAUUGGACAAUGGGGGGAACCCUGAUCCAGCCAUGCCGCGUGUGUGAAGAAGGCCUUUUGGUUGUAAAGCACUUUAAGCGAGGAGGAGGCUACUAGUAUUAAUACUACUGGAUAGUGGACGUUACUCGCAGAAUAAGCACCGGCUAACUCUGUGCCAGCAGCCGCGGUAAUACAGAGGGUGCGAGCGUUAAUCGGAUUUACUGGGCGUAAAGCGUGCGUAGGUGGCUAAUUAAGUCAAAUGUGAAAUCCCCGAGCUUAACUUGGGA
RNAcentral lists this ribosomal RNA (538 nucleotides) under uncultured Acinetobacter sp. Its description in RNAcentral is "bacterial SSU rRNA". It matches the Rfam family "Bacterial small subunit ribosomal RNA", at positions 86 to 619 of the family's 1533-position model. The record is from RNAcentral. Lineage: Bacteria; Pseudomonadati; Pseudomonadota; Gammaproteobacteria; Moraxellales; Moraxellaceae.